RNAcentral lists this ribosomal RNA (64 nucleotides) under Acacia dawsonii. RNAcentral describes it as "partial large subunit ribosomal RNA". Lineage: Eukaryota; Viridiplantae; Streptophyta; Magnoliopsida; Fabales; Fabaceae. The record is from RNAcentral.
CGCGACCCCAGGUCAGGCGGGGCGUACCCGCUUGAGUUUAAGCAUAUCAAUAAGCGGAGGAAAA